AGGCAGAGCAGAGGAUUGGGUUAUAGGAUGAGAGAACACCUGUUCCUGCCUCUUGCUUUCUCCCUAAAACCUAUAAAGUAGGAAAGGGGGAGGCAGCUGCCUGGGCUCCCUGCUCCAGGGGGUGUUUGUGGAUAGAUGGAUGGAGCUUUUGCAGGCUGAAGAGCUUCAAGUGCUGGGGGUGGAGAGGGGAGCUCCUGGCCUCGUCUCGGCUGCGUUGGGCUGCGCGAUGGAUGAUGUGUUCGAGGCUUCCUGUGUCUGGGGGCAAAUCGGGGCGAGAUGGCUCCGGGGAACCUGCGUGGUGGAGCUUGGUGCUGGGACAGCGAGCGAGGAGAGGGCAUAUUGA
RNAcentral lists this long non-coding RNA (343 nucleotides) under Numida meleagris (helmeted guineafowl). RNAcentral describes it as "lncRNA (ENSNMEG00000013571.1)". The record is from RNAcentral. Lineage: Eukaryota; Metazoa; Chordata; Aves; Galliformes; Numididae.